UCUCGGCUAGCUCAGUUGGUAGAGCAUGGGGCUCUUAAUCCCAGGGUCAUGGGUUCAUGUCCCAUGUUGGGCA
This 73-nucleotide transfer RNA is filed under the name Neotoma lepida (desert woodrat). It matches the Rfam family "tRNA". From Rfam's summary of the family: Transfer RNA (tRNA) molecules are approximately 80 nucleotides in length. Their secondary structure includes four short double-helical elements and three loops (D, anti-codon, and T loops). Lineage: Eukaryota; Metazoa; Chordata; Mammalia; Rodentia; Cricetidae. The record is from Rfam by way of RNAcentral.